GAGUUUGAUUAUGGCUCAGACUGUNCGCGUGGCGGCAGGCCUAACACAUGCAAGUCGAGCGGUNACAGGACUAGCUUGCUAGUUGCUGACGAGCGGCGGACGGGUGCGUAACACGUAGGAAUCUGCCCGGUAGUGGGGGAUAGCCCGGAGAAAUCCGGAUUAAUACCGCAUACGCCUUACGAGGGAAAGGAGGGGACUCUUCGGAGCCUUUCGCUAUCGGAUGAGCCUGCGUCGGAUUAGCUAGUUGGUGGGGUAAAGGCCUACCAAGGCGACGAUCCGUAGCUGGUCUGAGAGGAUGAUCAGCCACACUGGGGCUGAGACACGGCCCAGACUCCUACGGGAGGCAGCAGUGGGGAAUAUUGCACUAUGGGGGAAACCCUGAUGCAGCCAUGCCGCGUGUGUGAAGAAGGCUCUAGGGUUGUAAAGCACUUUCAGCGAGGAGGAAAGGUUGCUGGUUAAUACCCAGCGGCUGUGACGUUACUCGCAGAAGAAGCACCGGCUAACUCCGUGCCAGCAGCCGCGGUAAUACGGAGGGUGCGAGCGUUAAUCGGAAUUACUGGGCGUAAAGCGUGCGUAGGCGGCCAUGUAAGUUGGAUGUGAAAGCCCCGGGCUCAACCUGGGAACUGCAUCCAAAACUGGGUGGCUAGAGUACGGGAGAGGAGUGUGGAAUUUCCUGUGUAGCGGUGAAAUGCGUAGAUAUAGGAAGGAACACCAGUGGCGAAGGCGACACUCUGGCCUGAUACUGACGCUGANGUACGAAAGCGUGGGGAGCAAACAGGAUUAGAUACCCUGGUAGUCCACGCCGUAAACGAUGUCUACUAGUUGUCGGAAGUCUUGUACUUUGGGUAACGCAGCUAACGCGAUAAGUAGACCGCCUGGGGAGUACGGCCGCAAGGUUAAAACUCAAAUGAAUUGACGGGGGCCCGCACAACCGGUGGANCAUGUGGUUUA
RNAcentral lists this ribosomal RNA (951 nucleotides) under uncultured bacterium. Its description in RNAcentral is "bacterial SSU rRNA". It matches the Rfam family "Bacterial small subunit ribosomal RNA", at positions 9 to 948 of the family's 1533-position model. The record is from RNAcentral.